Molecule: non-coding RNA, 529 nt
Organism: Benincasa hispida (wax gourd)
Lineage: Eukaryota; Viridiplantae; Streptophyta; Magnoliopsida; Cucurbitales; Cucurbitaceae
Source: RefSeq, a predicted model, not a curated record
AAAAAAAAAACAAAGCAGAAAAGAGAAAAGAAAUAGAAAACCCUUGCCUUGCUAGUCAGUUGCCCUCCCUCGGCCUCACCCAGUCGCCCUCACGUCGCGAAACGCAAACGAAAACCCUCCUCUCAGUCUCACUCAGUCGCUUCGCUCGCCCUCACCGAACAGUCCGAACUCCAAAGUUCGAAUCCUCCUCUCAGUCUCAGUCGCUAGCCCUCGUCUCAGUCUGAACUCCGAAAACGAAAACCCUCCUCUCACUACUCUCAGCCUCACUCAGUCUCAAAUCGCUCGAUCCGGUCUGAGCGCCUUAGUCCCCUCGUCGCUCCGGCCCAUGCCUCACGCUUCCGGUCCGGUCUCCCCUCAGUUCCCUCGCUUUCACUAACUCACGCUUUCGGCAUUGAGAGGUGAAAAGACCAAAGAUGAAGAAUAAAAGUCACUCAAAAACUUGGACUUUUGUAGACUUUAAAUAUUUUGAGUAGUGAUUUGAACUUGAACAUUGAAUUGAAUUAUUUGAGGAAGUUUCUUUUGAAGUUUA